GGUUUAAUUCGAUGAUACGCGAGGAACCUUACCCGGGCUUGAAUUGCAGAGGAAGGAUUUGGAGACAAUGAACGCCCUUCGGGGUCUCUGUGAAGGUGCUGCAUGGUUGUCGUCAGCUCGUGCCGUGAGGUGUCGGCUUAAGUGCCAUAACGAGCGCAACCCCUCUCCUUAGUUGCCAUCAGUUGAAGCUGGGCACUCUGGGGACACUGCCACCGUAAGGUGUGA
Molecule: ribosomal RNA, 225 nt
Filed under: uncultured bacterium
Lineage: Bacteria
Description: partial 16S ribosomal RNA
Rfam family: Bacterial small subunit ribosomal RNA
Source: RNAcentral